AAUCAGAUUUAUUUAGUUCUUAAAAUGUUCAGAAAUGUACACUCAUUAAUCAUCCAUAGUAAGCAUCUUAUAUUGGGUUAAUAAUUCUGAGAAUAAUAUUUGUUUUGAACACAAAUGGUCAGAUAAUUAAUAAGAAUUAUACGUGGAGCUCCACAGGGCACUGUGCUCGGCUCACUACGUUUUAUAUUGUUCAGAGCUGCAGGUAGAGAUCAUAAGAGAUGUCUGUGUUUCAGAGCUGCAGGUAGAGAUCAUAAGAGAUGUCUGUGUUUCAGAGCUGCAGGUAGAGAUCAUAAGAGAUGUGUCUGUGUUUCAGAGCUGCAGGUAGAGAUCAUAAGAGAUGUCUGUGUUUCAGAGCUGCAGGUAGAGAUCAUAAGAGAUGUCUGUGUUUCAGAGCUGCAGGUAGAGAUCAUAAGAGAUGUCUGUGUUUCAGAGCUGCAGGUAGAGAUCAUAAGAGAUGUGUCUGUGUUUCAGAGCUGCAGGUAGAGAUCAUAAGAGAUGUCUGUGUUUCAGAGCUGCAGGUAGAGAUCAUAAGAGAUGUGUCUGUGUUUCAGAGCUGCAGGUAGAGAUCAUAAGAGAUGUGUCUGUGUUUCAGAGCUGCAGGUAGAGAUCAUAAGAGAUGUCUGUGUUUCAGAGCUGCAGGUAGAGAUCAUAAGAGAUGUCUGUGUUUCAGAGCUGCAGGUAGAGAUCAUAAGAGAUGUCUGUGUUUCAGAGCUGCAGGUAGAGAUCAUAAGAGAUGUCUGUGUUUCAGAGCUGCAGGUAGAGAUCAUAAGAGAUGUCUGUGUUUCAGAGCUGCAGGUAGAGAUCAUAAGAGAUGUCUGUGUUUCAGAGCUGCAGGUAGAGAUCAUAAGAGAUGUGUCUGUGUUUCAGAGCUGCAGGUAGAGAUCAUAAGAGAUGUGUCUGUGUUUCAGAGCUGCAGGUAGAGAUCAUAAGAGAUGUCUGUGUUUCAGAGCUGCAGGUGGAGAUCAUAAGAGAUGUCUGUGUUUCAGAGCUGCAGGUAGAGAUCAUAAGAGAUGUCUGUGUUUCAGAGCUGCAGGUAGAGAUCAUAAGAGAUGUCUGUGUUUCAGAGCUGCAGGUAGAGAUCAUAAGAGAUGUGUCUGUGUUUCAGAGCUGCAGGUAGAGAUCAUAAGAGAUGUGUCUGUGUUUCAGAGCUGCAGGUAGAGAUCAUAAGAGAUGUCUGUGUUUCAGAGCUGCAGGUAGAGAUCAUAAGAGAUGUCUGUGUUUCAGAGCUGCAGGUAGAGAUCAUAAGAGAUGUGUCUGUGUUUCAGAGCUGCAGGUAGAGAUCAUAAGAGAUGUCUGUGUUUCAGAGCUGCAGGUAGAGAUCAUAAGAGAUGUGUCUGUGUUUCAGAGCUGCAGGUAGAGAUCAUAAGAGAUGUCUGUGUUUCAGAGCUGCAGGUAGAGAUCAUAAGAGAUGUGUCUGUGUUUCAGAGCUGCAGGUAGAGAUCAUAAGAGAUGUGUCUGUGUUUCAGAGCUGCAGGUAGAGAUCAUAAGAGAUGUCUGUGUUUCAGAGCUGCAGGUAGAGAUCAUAAGAGAUGUGUCUGUGUUUCAGAGCUGCAGGUAGAGAUCAUAAGAGAUGUGUCUGUGUUUCAGAGCUGCAGGUAGAGAUCAUAAGAGAUGUGUCUGUGUUUCAGAGCUGCAGGUAGAGAUCAUAAGAGAUGUCUGUGUUUCAGAGCUGCAGGUAGAGAUCAUAAGAGAUGUCUGUGUUUCAGAGCUGCAGGUAGAGAUCAUAAGAGAUGUGUCUGUGUUUCAGAGCUGCAGGUAGAGAUCAUAAGAGAUGUGUCUGUGUUUCAGAGCUGCAGGUAGAGAUCAUAAGAGAUGUCUGUGUUUCAGAGCUGCAGGUAGAGAUCAUAAGAGAUGUCUGUGUUUCAGAGCUGCAGGUAGAGAUCAUAAGAGAUGUCUGUGUUUCAGAGCUGCAGGUAGAGAUCAUAAGAGAUGUCUGUGUUUCAGAGCUGCAG
This is a long non-coding RNA of Eleginops maclovinus (Patagonian blennie), 1952 nucleotides long. RefSeq lists it as uncharacterized. NCBI's taxonomy places the organism in Eukaryota, Metazoa, Chordata, Actinopteri, Perciformes, Eleginopidae. The record is from RefSeq and is a predicted model, not a curated record. The transcript has 3 exons.